CCCCCGCUGAAUUUUGACCCCAAACCAGAGAGCGCAGAACAGGCUGGGAACCUCUAGUGCUUUGACCUGGGAGGCACCAGACGCCUCGGUGCCGGGCGGCCGGGUUUCGGACUAGCGCAGCCCGAACUUCUCCGGGCUCCGUGCCGCGGGAAACGGGCCAGACGCGCCUCCCCAGCGUGUGCACCCCCGGCUCCGGUCUCCAGUCCCCGGCCGGGGCGAGGGAAGGCGGGCACCGGCUCUCUGACGCGCUUGGACCCCACCCUUUCCUGCGGCCGUACAGGGCGGAGGCCGCCCGGACCCGGAGUCCCCGCAGCGGCGACCCGCGUGUCCUUCCCACCCGGCGGCGCUGGGUUUCGCUUGGGGAUACUGUGCCGCACGGAAUCCGGAGUGGAGCCGGAUCUGCCGCAGGUGAAAACGGGGCUCUAGCGAUCCGAACCGAAGCUGGCCCGGCUGGGAGUUGCGGCAGGCGAGAGACACAGCUGGACCCCCGAGGGAAACUGAGAGACGGGAUGCAGGGAAGCCCGAACCCGGUGUGGGGAAUGGCUGGCCCAGGCGCAGAGGAUGUUCCGUGCUGAGUCACGCAAGGUUU
This 589-nucleotide long non-coding RNA is filed under the name Pelusios castaneus (West African mud turtle). Its description in RNAcentral is "lncRNA (ENSPCEG00000003307.1)". Lineage: Eukaryota; Metazoa; Chordata; Testudines; Pelomedusidae. The record is from RNAcentral.